This 484-nucleotide ribosomal RNA is filed under the name uncultured bacterium. Its description in RNAcentral is "partial 16S ribosomal RNA". It matches the Rfam family "Bacterial small subunit ribosomal RNA", at positions 28 to 507 of the family's 1533-position model. The record is from RNAcentral.
AUUGAACGCUGGCGGCAUGCUUUACACAUGCAAGUCGAACGGCAGCGCGGGCUUCGGCCUGGCGGCGAGUGGCGAACGGGUGAGUAAUGCAUCGGAACGUGCCCAGUAGUGGGGGAUAGCCCGGCGAAACCCGGAUUAAUACCGCAUACGACCUGAGGGUGAAAGCGGGGGACCGAAAGGCCUCGCGCUAUUGGAGCGGCCGAUGUCGGAUUAGCUAGUUGGUGGGGUAAAGGCUUACCAAGGCGACGAUCCGUAGCUGGUCUGAGAGGACGACCAGCCACACUGGGACUGAGACACGGCCCAGACUCCUACGGGAGGCAGCAGUGGGGAAUUUUGGACAAUGGGGGCAACCCUGAUCCAGCCAUGCCGCGUGCGGGAAGAAGGCCUUCGGGUUGUAAACCGCUUUUGUUCGGGAAGAAAUCCUCUGGGCUAAUACCCCGGGGGGAUGACGGUACCGGAAGAAUAAGCACCGGCUAACUACGUG